CUACACGGGUAUCUAAUCCUGUUUGCUCCCCACGCUUUCGCACCUCAGCGUCAGUAAUGGACCAGUGAGCCGCCUUCGCCACUGGUGUUCCUCCGAAUAUCUACGAAUUUCACCUCUACACUCGGAAUUCCACUCACCUCUUCCAUACUCAAGAUACCCAGUAUCAAAGGCAGUUCCAGAGUUGAGCUCUGGGAUUUCACCCCUGACUUAAAUAUCCGCCUACGUGCGCUUUACGCCCAGUAAUUCCGAACAACGCUAGCCCCCUUCGUAUUACCGCGGCUGCUGGCAC
Molecule: ribosomal RNA, 289 nt
Filed under: uncultured Rhizobium sp.
Lineage: Bacteria; Pseudomonadati; Pseudomonadota; Alphaproteobacteria; Hyphomicrobiales; Rhizobiaceae
Description: partial 16S ribosomal RNA
Source: RNAcentral